GCCAUGGGAAAAAAAACCACAUGGAGGGAGAGGAAGAGGAGGGGAGGAAGGCCUAAGGGGGGAAAGACACUGAAAAACAGCUCCAGGAUCUGGGGAAUGGGAUGAACUUAAAAAAGCAGGUGUGAGGUUCUUUAGGAGAACAAACACAGAAGAACCUCUUUGCUGUUGCAAGGGGUUUUUAGCUGGUUUGAUUCAGCUCCCCAGGUGGUCACGGCUGGAUGUGCUUGGGUUCCUGUGGAGAAGCAAACACUAGGUAGGCUUGCACUGCACCCCGAGCCUGCCUGACAUCCCACUGCUCAACCCCUGGCCAGCUGCAGCCCCUCGGGGAAGGAAAGAUCACUCGGUGGGAUCCCCCUUGUGCUGCUGCCACGCCUGGCUUGGCUCCAAGGGCUGCGCUUCAGCACUCGGCCUGUGGACCUGAGGAGCAGGGAAGAUCCCAGUGCUGAGGGAGCCCUGCUGCACCUUCAUGGAAUAUCACCAGCUAGGCAACACUAUCCCAGAAAAAUGGGGGAUUUCCUGGCUGUAAAGAAUGGGAUUUUACACACUCA
This is a long non-coding RNA of Haemorhous mexicanus (house finch), 548 nucleotides long. RefSeq lists it as uncharacterized. The transcript is spliced from 3 exons. The record is from RefSeq and is a predicted model, not a curated record. Lineage: Eukaryota; Metazoa; Chordata; Aves; Passeriformes; Fringillidae.